UCAUUUUUGAGCGGCAGACUUCGCUGUGACAGUCAUGCGCGUCCUCAUUGCUCUUCUCAUCCUCACUGCUCUUCUGGCAGUUGCUUCAUCAGCCAUAUCUCUUUUGCCGAUGCUGCUACUUGGUCCGCCCUUUCAUGACCUGGGAUCCAAACGUGACUCGGGACCCAACAGAAGUGUUUGGCGUGGAAGUCAGUGAGGCUGCGGGGAGAAGGCUGCGAGUCGAUGCAGAGGACGCUUCAUGAAGUGGACCUACAACAAUGAGACGAACAAGUGUAAAAGAAUUAUCUGGGGCGGUUGUGGAAAUAAUGAAUGCAACGUCUUCCGAACGGAAGUGAAUGCCAGAAUAACUGCAAACGGCCUCGCGAUAAAGCAGAAUGAGCACCUUGAAGCCUUCUCGCUCCGGUAUAAGUGUAGCAAUAAAAUG
Molecule: long non-coding RNA, 424 nt
Organism: Rhipicephalus sanguineus (brown dog tick)
Lineage: Eukaryota; Metazoa; Arthropoda; Arachnida; Ixodida; Ixodidae
Exons: 3
Source: RefSeq, a predicted model, not a curated record